GUGGGGAAUAUUGGGCAAUGGGGGAAACCCUGACCCAGCAACGCCGCGUGAAGGAAGAAGGUUUUCGGAUCGUAAACUUCUAUCCUUGGUGAAGAUAAUGACGGUAGCCAAGAAGGAAGCCCCGGCUAACUACGUGCCAGCAGCCGCGGUAAUACGUAGGGGGCAAGCGUUGUCCGGAAUGAUUGGGCGUAAAGGGCGCGUAGGCGGCCUGGUAAGUCUGGAGUGAAAGUCCUGCUUUUAAGGUGGGAAUUGAUUUGGAUACUGUCGGGCUUGAGUGCAGGAGAGGUAAGCGGAAUUCCCGGUGUAGCGGUGAAAUGCGUAGAGAUCGGGAGGAACACCAGUGGCGAAGGCGGCUUACUGGACUGUAACUGACGCUGAGGCGCGAAAGUGUGGGGAGCAAACAGGAUUAGAAACCCGGGUAGUCC
RNAcentral lists this ribosomal RNA (425 nucleotides) under uncultured bacterium. RNAcentral describes it as "partial 16S ribosomal RNA". It matches the Rfam family "Bacterial small subunit ribosomal RNA", at positions 354 to 796 of the family's 1533-position model. The record is from RNAcentral.